UACCAGCUCUCCGAGUAGUGUGGAUGUUUAUUGGGCCUAAAGCAUCCGUAGCUUGCUAAAUAAGUCCCCUGUUAAAUCCACCGAUUCAAUCGUUGGAUUGCGGAGGAUACUGUUUGGCUAGGGGACGGGAGAGGCCGACGGUAUUUCUGGGGUAGGGGUGAAAUCCUAUAAUCCCAGGAAGACCACCAGUGGCGAAGGCUGUCGGCUAGAACGCGCCCGACGGUGAGGGAUGAAAGCUGGGGGAGCGAACCGGAUUAGAUACCCGGGUAGUCCCGGCUGUAAACGAUGCAGGCUAGGUGUUUGGGCGGCUACGAGCCGCUCUAGUGCCGCAGGGAAGCUGUUAAGCCUGCCGCCUGGGGAGUACGGCCGCAAGGCUGAAACUUAAGGAAUUGGCGGGGAGCACCACAAGGGGUGAAGCUUGCGGUUU
Molecule: ribosomal RNA, 427 nt
Filed under: uncultured archaeon
Lineage: Archaea
Description: bacterial SSU rRNA
Rfam family: Archaeal small subunit ribosomal RNA
Source: RNAcentral